This is a long non-coding RNA of Chinchilla lanigera (long-tailed chinchilla), 918 nucleotides long. RefSeq lists it as uncharacterized. NCBI's taxonomy places the organism in Eukaryota, Metazoa, Chordata, Mammalia, Rodentia, Chinchillidae. The record is from RefSeq and is a predicted model, not a curated record. The transcript is spliced from 4 exons.
UUCAUGUUCUCUGAAGUCAAACGGGAGUCCUAAACUGUCAGGCUUAGCUGUAGUGGUAAUGGGUUUCUCUUUGGGGAUUGAAAUACACAUUCAUUUGUUUCCCAUUUGCUUUGCUGAUACAGCAGUCAUACUCUGGCAGGUGUUACCUGGGACUGCAGAGGGAUGAAAGCAGAAGUAAAUCACAUUGCUCUAUUGGGUUCUCAGACCAAUAGCAAGAAUUAAUGCUGCCCCGUGAAGACCAAAAUGCUUCUUGGGAGCCUGGGAAAACCAAUACAUCACUAAUGGUGCCAGCUAGCAUCCUGUAUCAAAACAAAGCUUGGUUCUGUAUUUGCAAACUUACUGAGUGCUAAAGUGUAGUCAUUCAAGGCUGAAAGUUGGGGUCAACCUGUGUGCGUUUCCAGCCAAGAGUGGACAGGAAGACGUGCUGAGGCAGUUCACAUACUGUGAAUCAAAGCUUCAAAAUGGCAACGAAAAAAUGAGGAGGAUCUGGCAUGCAAUAUUGCUGCAAUAUGCAGAGAAAAAUAAAGAAAAGCAAACAAGAGGCUGAUGCCUUUUACUUCUAAGCAAAGAGGGGCGGUGGUGAAAAUCAAUGUUAUUGGCCAACUGUACCUGCUGGCAAUAAUUAGGUAUUUCUAAGCAGCAUUUAACUCUACCACCCACCACCAUGGGUAGAAAUCUCUUCUAAAUCCUGUGAAAUUUAAUUACAAAUAUUUUUAAUGAAUCAGAAAUUUCUGGAAGAUGGAGAAUGCACUUUGCUCCUGUUUAUUCAGCCUCUUUCUCUGUGCCUAGCACAAGGUAGGCUCUGUUUGUAUUGAUGAAAUCACAAAUUCUGCUCCAGUUUUUGAAAAAGUUUGUCUCCCCAGCAAGUACAGCGUAGAAGCCAAAGUUUUUUUAGUAGACUCAUGUGAGACUUUAUCC